AGAGUUUGAUCCUGGCUCAGAACGAACGUCGGCGGUCUGGAUUAGGCAUGCAAGUUGUGCGAACCCAGCAAUGGGGAGCAGCGUAAGGGGCAGUAAGGCAUGGGUAUCUACCCUGGGGUCGGGCAUAGCCUGUCGAGAGACAGGGUAAUUCCCGAUGAUGUCGAGAGACCAAAGGUCCGCCGCCCUAGGAGGAGCCCAUGUGAUAUUAGCUAGUUGGUAAGGUAACGGCUUACCAAGGCGAAGAUGUCUAGCGGGUGUGAGAGCACGACCCGCGCCACUGGCACUGAGACACUGGCCAGACACCUACGGGUGGCUGCAGUCGAGGAUCUUCGGCGAUGGGCGCAAGCCUGACCGAGCGAGACCGCGUGUGCGAUGAAGGCCUUCGGGUUGUAAAGCACUGUCGAGGGGGAGAAAAGCGCAAGCUUGAUCUAUCCCUGGAGGAAGCACGGGCUAAGUUCGUGCCAGCAGCCGCGGUAAGACGAACCGUGCGAACGUUGUUCGGAAUCACUGGGCUUAAAGGGCGCGUAGGCGGGCCACCAAGUCCGGGGUGAAAUCCUCCAGCUUAACUGGAGAACUGCCUCGGAUACUGGAGGUCUUGAGGAAGAUAGGGGCAAGCGGAACCGUGGGUGGAGCGGUGAAAUGCGUUGAUAUCCAUGGGAACUCCGGUGGCGAAGGCGGCUUGCUGGAUCUUUUCUGACGCUGAGGCGCGAAAGCCAGGGGCGCAAACGGGAUUAGAUACCCCGGUAGUCCUGGCCCUAAACGAUGAGAACUAGGUAGUAGACUAAACAUGGGUUUACUGCCGAAGCCAAAGUGCUAAGUUCUCCGCCUGGGGAGUAUGGUCGCAAGGCUGAAACUCAAAGGAAUUGACGGGGGCUCACACAAGCGGUGGAGCAUGUGGCUUAAUUCGAGGCUACGCGAAGAACCUUAUCCUGGACUUGACAU
RNAcentral lists this ribosomal RNA (942 nucleotides) under uncultured bacterium. RNAcentral's name for it is "bacterial SSU rRNA". It matches the Rfam family "Bacterial small subunit ribosomal RNA", at positions 8 to 987 of the family's 1533-position model. The record is from RNAcentral.